This 583-nucleotide long non-coding RNA is filed under the name Aedes aegypti (yellow fever mosquito). RNAcentral's name for it is "lncRNA AAEL027901". Lineage: Eukaryota; Metazoa; Arthropoda; Insecta; Diptera; Culicidae. The record is from RNAcentral.
AUCACCUGCAAGGGACAUGCACAUCAAUAUUUUGUCUUUGGUUAGUUGGAUUGUCGCUCUGUUUCAAUUAGAUACUCCCGUUUCGCCAGUUAUCGAGCAGCUGUCGUCUGCGCUUGGAUCGAACGACGACGCAAGCAGAGGGCGCGCAUUGGUUCGGCUAUAUAUAUAGGAUGUGGGUGGAAUGAGUAUUCUUUAUACGUCUAACACGUCUGCGAGUUGGCGUAGAGCAUUCUUGCGGCGAAGUUGAUGAUUCGAAUUUCGAAAUCAAGUCAUAUGAAGAGUUCGUCUUUCCAACGGCAACGACAACGACGCGUCAGACCGUCUGGUGAAGCACUGAGAGAACUGAUUGAGGGUAAAUUGAAAACCGAUCGCAGUAGGCACGUGUAAGGCGGUUUUAGGAGUGCAUCCCACACUAUAGUCAUCGUGAUCAUCAUCAUCAAAAAUUGAUACUCUCCACUAUCACUUGUUGAUAGGAUGAAGAUAUUCUAUGAGGAGGCUUAUAGGAUUUCUGGGUUUACUACAUGCCAUAAAUUAAACUAUUUCAGUUGAUAAAUGGGCAUGUUCACUAGCAAAGACAAAAAAA